RNAcentral lists this long non-coding RNA (22048 nucleotides) under Hordeum vulgare. RNAcentral describes it as "long non-coding RNA (HVUL_LNC018152)". The record is from RNAcentral. Lineage: Eukaryota; Viridiplantae; Streptophyta; Magnoliopsida; Poales; Poaceae.
UUGGGGAAGAUCUCCAGCAGCACGACGGCAUGGUGUCGAUGGAGAGACGAGGUCUCCCGGCACGGCUUCGCCAAGCAUCGGCAGAGAAGAGGAGAAAGAAGAGCAGGGCUGCGCCGAGGGAGAGGAAGAUUGGUGUCUCCAACAUCCCAAAGUGCCCACUAUAUAUAGGGGGAGGGAGGGGCUGGGGGGAGGUGCGGCGGCCAGGAGGUGAGGAGGGGUGGCGCACCCUUCUGGUGGGCCUUAGGCCCACCUGCGCUAGGGUUCCCCCUCCCCCUCUUCUUGCGCCAUGGGCUGAGUGUGGGGGGCGCACCAGCCCACCUAGGGGCUGGUUCCCUCCCGCACUUGGCCUAUCUAGCCUCCCGGGGUCGUGUCCCCCUGCCGGUGGACCCCCGGGGCCACCUCCGGUGGUCCCGGUACGUUGCCGGUGACGCCCAAAACACUUCCGGUGUCCGAAACCAUCCGUCCUAUAUAUCAAUCUUUACCUUUGAACCAUUCCGGAGCUCCUCGUGACAUCCGGGAUCUCAUCCGGGACUCCGAACAACUUUCGAUAACCUCGUAUAACAAUUCCCUAUAACCCUAGCGUCAUCGAACCUUAAGUGUGUAGACCCUACAGGUUUGGGAGACAGGUAGACAUGACCAAGACACCUCUCUGGCCAAUAACCAUCAGCGGGGUCUGGAUACCCAUGGUGGCUCACACUUGCUCCAUGAUGAUAUCAUCGGAUGAACCACGAUGUCAAGGAUUCAAUUAAUCCCGUAUACAAUUCCCUUUCUCUAUCGGUAUAGAACUUGCGUGAGAUUCGAUGAUCGGUAUACCUAUACCUUGUUCAAUCUCGUUACCGGUAAGUCUCUUUACUCGUUCCGUAGCACGUCAUCGUGUGACUAACUCCUUAGUCACAUUGAGCUCAUGAUGAUGUUCUACCGAGUGGGCCCAGAGAUUCCUCUCCGUCACACGGAGUGACAAAUCCCGAUCUCGAUUCGUACCAACCCAACAGACACUUUCAGAGGUACCCGUAGUGCACCUUUAUAGUCACCCAGUUACGUUGUGACGUUUGAUACACCCAAAGCACUCCUACGGUAUCCGGGAGUUGCACAAUCUCACGGUCGAAGGAAAAGAUACUUGACAUUGGAAAAGCUUUAGCAUACGAACAAUACAAUCUAGUGCUACGCUUAGGAUUGGGUCUUGUCCAUCACAUCAUUCUCCCAAUGAUGUGAUCCCGUUAUCAAUGACAUCUAAUGCCCAUGACCAGGAAACCAUGAUCAUCUAUUGACUAACGAGCUAGCCAACUAGAGGCUUGCUAGGGACACAUUGUGAUCUAUUUAUUCACACAUGUAUUACUGUAUCGUGUUAAUAAAAUUAUAGCAUUAACAAUAGACGAUUAUCAUGAACAAGGAAAUAUGAUAAUAAUCAUUUUAUUAUUGCCUCUAGGGCAUAUUUCCAACAGAGCAUCACUUGGAAACUUUUCCUUAGUUUUACCUCGGCCCCCUUUAACAGUACGGUGGUCCUAUGAUAUAAUAUAGAGGAAAUGAAACUAUGAAAACAAAAGUCUUCACACUUCAAAGUCCUCGCAUCAAUUCCUUCACAUACACACCAAUUUCCUCACUUUCAAAGUCUUCGAGGAAAUAACAAAGUCUUCAACCAAAGACAUACAUUUUUAAGGGUCGAUAUUCUUCGAAUACCUCAAACUCCUCAGCUACUUAUAGAGUCUGUGUACACUCACAAACACAUUAGUCUCUUAACCUAUAAGUCUUCAAUACACCAAAAUCACUAAGGGCAUUGUUAGAGCGUAUUUCUCCGUAUGUGGUUUUGGUAAUUGAUGACAAUUCCUAUGGACUAAUGGUUGCCUUAAGUUAUAUUUAUAGGAUUUGUCCAUAGGCACUUCUUGAAAUCCAUCUGUUGGGUUGAGUUUAUAUGAUGACCAAGGUGGUAUUAAAGGUAUUAUCCAAAGAAUGGUCAUAGAGACACAAGGUUGAUCAAGAUCGUCAGACAAAGAGUAAAUCAAGAUGAUCAACACACAAAGCGUACAAGAUGUACCGAGAGGGAUCAACUGAUCCCAUGGUAUGGUAAGCAUUGUCCAUUACGUGUUUGUGUACUAAGCCAUGGUCUUUGUGAGAGUUCUAUGUGGGGGUUAGGUGUGCUUCCAUGGGCUUGCGUCAAAAGGAAGAUCUCAUACAACCCAUGAAGGAUGACGUCAAGUGGUGAUCGUCAUCAAGAUUGCGAUGUGCAAGUUCAAGUGGAUCAGCACGAAUAUAUCAUGCUUGAUGCUUACCGUCCAUUGUGGUGGCAAUGGACUUGUGAAGAUAUGUUGAAGAGCGGCUCACCCAUAGUGUGUAUGGGGGAGCAAUCAACUAGUCUUCAUCAAGCCAACGCAAUCAAAAAAGGUGGUCCAUCUUGAGGAAGCCAAGAUCAUCAUCAUCUAGCUCAAUAGGAUGAGGUGCAAGGUAUAGGUUGUUGGGGUACGUUGCAUGGGAAACAAAAAAUUUCCUACGCCUACGAAGACCUAUCAUGGUGAUGUUCAUCUACGAGAGGGAGAUUAGAUCUACAUACCCUUGUAGAUCGCUCAACGGGAAGCAUUAAGAAAUGUGGUUGAUGUAGUGGUACAUCUUCGUGAUUCAAAUCACCGCCGUCCCACGAUCCGUCCCUCGAACCGUCCCACAAUCCGUCCCACGAACCGUCUCGUGAUCCAUCCCACGAUCCAUCCCGAUCUAGCGUCGAACGGACGGCACCUCCGCGUUCAGUACACGUACAGAUCGAUGACGAUCUCGGCCUUCUAGAUCCAGCAAGAGAGAUAGAGAAGUAGAUGAGUUCUCCGGCAGCGUGAUGGCGCGCCGGUGUUGGUGAUGAUCUAUUCCUGCACGGCUCUACCCGAGCUCCGCAGAAAUCUAAUCUAGAGGAAGAACUAUGAGGUGUAGGUUUGAGUUGCAUGUGGCAAAAGUUGUGUCUCAAACAGCCCUAAACCUCAAGUAUAUAUAGGCGGAGUCAAGGGGUGGGGGAAAGCCCUUAGGGCGCCGGCCAAAGAGGCCCUCCUUGGGUCGGCCGAAGUGGGAAGGGAAGAGUCCUUCUCCAAUCCCACUUGGAUUAGGACUCCUUCCUUAUUUUCCCACUCUUUUGGAUUUUCCACUUUUUCCUCAUGGGCUUUCCUUGGAUGACUUUGUCAGCCCAUUAUACCUUAUUGCACAGCCAAUAAACCCAUGUGGACCCCUUGGGGCGUGGUGGGCCCACCCAGUGGGCCCCCAGAACCAAUUCGUCACUCCCGGUACACUGCCGGUAAUGCCCGAAAACUUUCCGGAAUCCAAACACCAACUUCCUAUAUAUCAAUCUUAGUUUCCAGACCAUUCCAGAAACCCUCGUGACGUCCGUGAUCUCAUCACGGACUCCGAACAACCUUCGGUCACCAACACAUAUAACUCAACUAUACUAAAACGUCACCAAACCUUAAGUGUGUAGACCCUGCGGGUUCGAGAACUAUGUAGACAUGACCCGAGACACUCCUCGGUCAAUAUCCAAUAGCGGGACCUGGAUGUCCAUAUUGGAUCCUACAUAUUCUACGAAGAUCUUAUCGGUUGAACCUCUGUGCCAGGGAUUCAUAUAAUCUCGUAUAUCAUUCCCUUUGUCCUUCGGUAUGUUACUUGCCCGAGAUUUGAUCGUCCGUAUCCCUAUACCUAUUUCAAUCUCGUUACCGGCAAGUCUCUUUGCUCAUUCUAUAAUACAAGAUCCCGUGACUCACACUUGAGUCACAUUGCUUGCAAGGCUUGUGUGUGAUGUUGUAUUACCGAGUGGGCCCCGAGAUACCUCUCCGUCACACGGAGUGACAAAUCCUAGUCUUGAUCCAUGCUAACUCAACGGACACCUUCAGAGAUACCUGUAGAGCACCUUUAUAGUCAUCCAGUUAUGUUGUGACGUUUGAUACCCACAAGGUAUUCCUUCGGUGUUAGUGAGUUACAUGAUCUCAUGGUCAUAGGAAUGAAUACUUGACACGCAGAAAACAAUAGCAAUAAAAUGACACGAUCACAUGCUACGUUCAUAGUUUGGGUCUUGUCCAUCACAUGAUUCUCCUAAUGAUGUGAUCCCGUUAUCAAGUGACAACACUUGUCUAUGGUGAGGAAACCUUGACCAUCUUUGAUCAACGAGCUAGUCAACUAGAGGCUUACUAGGGACAGUGUUUUGUCUAUGUAUCCACACAUGUAUUUGUGUUUCCAAUCAAUACAAUUAUAGCAUGGAUAAUAAACAAUUAUCAUGAACAAAGAAAUAUAAUAAUAACUAAUUUAUUAUUUCCUCUAGGGCAUAUUUCCAACAGUCUCCCACUUGCACUAGAGUCAAUAAUCUAGUUCACAUCACCAUGUGAUUUCAAAGAAUCCAACACCCAUACAGUUCUGGGGCUUGAUCACGUCUUGCUCGUGAGAGAGGUUUUAGUCAACGGUUCUAAAUCUUUCAAAUCCGUGUGUGCUUUACAAAUCUUUAUGUCAACUUAUAGUUGCUGCUACUACGUGCUAUUCGGAAAUACUCCAAAUAUCUACUCUACUAUACGAAUCCGUUUUACUACUCAGAGUUAUUCGGAUUAGUGUCAAAGCUUGCAUCGAUGUAACCCUUUACAACGAACUCUUUAACCACCUCCAUAAUCGAGAAAAAUUCCUUAGUCCACUAGUUAUUAAGGAUAACUUUGACCGCUGUUUUAGUGAUUCAAUCCUGAAUCACCUUUUGUACCCCUUGAUAGACUCAUGGCAAGGUACACAUCAGGUGCGGUACACAGCUUGGCAUACUUUAGAGCCUACGGCUAAGGCAUAGGGGACGACCUUCGUCCUUUCUCUUUCUUUUGCCGUGGUCGGGCGUUGAGUCUUACUCAAAUUCACACCUUACAACACAGCCAAGAACUCCUUCUUUGCUGAUCUAUUUUGAACUCCUUCAAAAACCUGUCAAGCCACGCAUUUCAUUGAAAGUUCUAUUUAGUGUUUUGAUCCAUCUCUAUAGAUCUUGAUGCUCAAUGUUUCAAGUAGCUCUAUCCAGGUCUUCCUUUGAAAAACUUCGUUCAGACAACCUUUUAUGCUUCACAGAAAUUCUACAUUACUUCCGAUCUACAAUAUGUCAACCACAUAUACUUAUUAGAAAUUCCAUAGUGCUCCCACUAACUUCUUUGGAAAUACAAGUUUCUCAUAAACCUUGUACAAACCCAAAAGCUUUGAUCAUCUCAUCAAAGCGUAUAUUCCAACUCCGAGAUGCUUGCACCAGUCCAUCGAAGGAUCGCUGGAGCUUGCAUACUUGUUAGCAUCCUUAGGAUUGACAAAACCUUCUCGUUGUAUCACAUACAACCUUUCCUCAAGGAAACCGUCGAGGAAACAAUGUUUUGUCAUCCUAUGUGCAAUAUUUCACAAACAAUGCAGCAAUUGCUAACACAAUUCCAACAUAUUUUGAGCAUCGCUACGAGCGAGAAAGUCUCAUCAUAGACAACUCCUUGAACUUGUUGGAAACAUCUUUGCGACAAGUCGAGCUUUUCUUAAUGGUGACUUUUCACCAUCAUCGUAUGUCUUCCCUUUAAAGAUCCAUCUUUACUUAACAGUCGUACGACCAUCAAGUAGUUCUUCCAAAGUCUACACUUUGUUUUCAUACAUGGAUCCUCUCUCGGAUUUCAUGGCCUCUAGCCAUUUGUCGGAAUCCGGGACCACCAUCGCUUCUCCAUAGCUCAUAGGUUCAUUGUUGUUCAACAACAUGACCUCCAAGACAAGGUUACAGUACCACUCUGUAGUAGUACGCGACCUUGUCGACCUACGAGGUUUGUAGUAACUUGAUCCGAAGCUCAAUGAUCACCAUCAUCAGUUUCCACUUCAAUUGGUGUAGGCACCACAUGAACAACUUCUUGCGCCCUGCUACACACUGGUUGAAGUGAAGAUUCACUAACCUCAUCAAGUUCCACCACCCUCCCACUCAAUUCUUUCGAGAGAAACCUUUCCUCGAGAAAGGACCCGUUUCUAGAAACAAACACUUCGCUUCCGGAUCUGAGAUAGGAGAUGUACCCAACUAUUUUGGAUAUCCUAUGAAGAUGCAUUUAUCCGUUUUGGGUUCGAGCUUAUCAGACUGAAACUUUUUCACAUAAGCAUCGCAGCUCCAAACUUUUAAGAAACGACAGCUUAGGUUUCUCCAAACCAUAAUUCAUACUGUGUCAUCUCAACGGAAAUACGCGGUGCCCUAUUUAAAGUGAAUGCGGUUGUCUCUAAUGCAUAACCCAUAAACGAUAGUGGUAAUUUGAUAAGAGACAUCAUAGUAUGCGCUUAUAUCCAAUAGGGCGCGGCUAUGACAUUCAGACACACCAUCACACUAUGGUGUUCUUAGGUGGCAUGAAUUGCAAAACGAUUUCCACAUUGUUUUAAUCGUGUACCAAAACUCGCAACUCAAAUUUUCAUCUCUAUGAUCAUAUCGUAGAUAGUUUAUCCUCUUGUCACGACGAUCUUCACUCUGAAAAUAGCUUUGAACUUUUCCAAUAUUUCACACUUGUGAUUCAUCAAGUAAAUACUCCUGUAUCUACUUAAAUCAUCAGUGAAGUAAGAAGAUAACGAUAUCCACUGCGUGCCUCAGCACUCAUUAGACCGCACACAUCAAAAAUGUAAUACUUCCAACAAGUUACUUUCUUGUUCCAUGUGGUAUGAUUUGCAUGUCUCAAGUGAUUCAAAAAUCAGGUGAGUCCAAACAAUCCAUCUGCAUGGAGUUUCUUCAUGCGUUUAUACCAAUAGGUAUGGUUUGCAUGUAUCAAACGUUUCAAAAAUGAGUGAGUACAAAGGUCCAUCAACAUGGAGCUUCUUCAUGCAUUUUACACCAACAUGACUCAAGUGGCAGUGCCACAAGUAAGUGGUACUAUCAUUAUUACUUUGUAUCUUUUGGCACCAAUAUUAUGAACAUGUGUAACACUACGAUCGAUAUUCAAUAAACCAUUGAGGAUAAUUAUUCAAGCAAAUAGAAUAACUAUUAUUCUCUUUAAAUGAAUAAUCGUAUUGCAAUAAACAUGAUGCAAUCAUGUUCAUGCUCAAUGCAAACACCAAAUAACAAUUAUUUAGGUUUAACAGCAAUCCCGAUGGUACAGAGAGCAUGCGAUAUUUGAUCACAUCAACCUUGGAGACACUUCCAACACAUAUCGUCACCUCGUCUUUCGCUAGUCUCUGUUUAUUCCGUAGCUUUGAUUUCGAGUUACUAAUCAGUUAGCAACUGAACCGGUAUCUAAUACCCUCGUGCUACUAGGAGUACUAGUAAAGUAUAAAUCAAUAUCAUGUAUAUCAAAUAUACUUCUGUCGACUUUUGUCAGCCUACUCAUCUACCAAGUAUCUAGGGUAGCUCCGCCUCGGUAACCAUUCCCCUCAUAACAGAAGCACUUAGUCUCGGGUUUGGGUUCAAUCUUUGGUUUCUUCAUUAGACCAACAACUGGUUUGUCGUUUCAUGAAGUAUCCCUACUAGCCCUUGCCCUUCUUGAAACUAGUGGUUUUACUAACCAUCAACAAUUAAUGAUCCUUCUUGAUUUUUACUUUCGCAGUGUCAAACAUUGCAAAUCAUUCAAGGAUCAUCAUAUCUAUCCUUGAUAUGUUAUAAUUCAUCAUGAAGCUCUAGCAGCUUGGUGGCAGUGACUUUGGAGAACCAACACUAUCUUAUCUGGAAGAUUAACUCCCACUUCAUUCAAGCGAUUGUUGUACUCACACAAUCUGAGCACAUGCUCAAUGAUUGAGCUUUUCUCCUUUACUUUGCAGACAAAGAAUCUUGGUGGAGGUCUCAUACCUCUCAACAAGGGCACGAGCAUGAAAUCUCAAUUUCAUUUCUUAGAACAUCUCUUAUGUUUCGUGACGUUUCAAAACGUCUUCGGCACCUUGCUUAUAAGCCAUUAAGUAUUACGCACUGAACUAUCACGUAGUCAUCAAAAACGUGUAUGUCAGAUGUUCGCAACAUCCAAAGACGGCGCUCGAGGUGCAGCACACCGAGUGGUGCAUUAAGGACAUAAGCCUUCUGCGCAGCAAUGAGGAUAAUCCUCAGUUUUAUGGACUCAGUCCGCAAAGUUGCUACUAUCAUCUUUCAACUAAAUUUUCUCUAGGAACAUAUAAAAACAGUAGAGCUAUAGCGCAAGCUACAUCAUAAUUCGCAAAGACCUUUUGACUAUGUUCAUGAUAAUUAGAGUUUAACUAAUCAAAUUACUUAAUAAACUCCCAGUCAAAAAGUACAUCCCUCUAGUCAUUUGAGUGGUACAUGAUCCAAAUCCACUAACUCAAGUCCGAUCAUCACGUGAGUUGAGUAUAGCUUCAGUGGUAAGCAUCUCUAUGCUAAUCAUAUCAACUAUACGAUUCAUGCUCGACCUUUCGGUCUCUUAUGUUCCGAGGCCAUGUCUGCACAUGCUAGGCUCGUCAAGUUUAACCCGAGUGUUCCGCAUGUGCAACUAUUUUGCACUCAUUGUAUGUGAACGUUGAGCUAUCACACCCGAUCAUCAUGUGGUGUCUCGAAACGACGAACUGUCACAACGGUGCACAGUCGGGGAGAAUACAAUUUCUUCUUGAAAUUUUAGUGAGAGAUCACCUUAUAAUGCUACCGUAGUUCUAAGCAAAAUAAGGUGCAUAAAAGGAUUAACAUCACAUGCAAUUCGUAAGUGACAUGAUAUGGCCAUCAUCUUGUGCUUAUUGAUCUCCAUCACCAAAGCACUGCCAUGAUCUUCUUAUCACCGACGCCACACCAUGAUCUCCAUCAUCAUAAUAUCCAUCAUCGUGCCGCCAUAGAGGUUGUCAUGCUAUCUAUGCUAUUACUACUAAAGUUACGACCUAGCAAUAUAGUAAACGCAUCUGCAAACACAAACGUUAGUUUAAAUAAAACCCUAUGGCUCAUGUCGGUUGCUGUAGCAUUGACGUGCAAGUCGAUAUUAACUAUUACAACAUGAUCAUCUCAUACAUCCAAUAUAUCACAUCACGCAUUGGCCAUAUGAUAUCACAAGCAUACCCUGCAAAAACAAGUUAGACGUCCUCUAAUUUCUUGUUGCAUGUUUUACGUGGCUGCUAUGGGUAUCUAGUAUGAUCACAUCUUACUUACGCAAAAACCACAACGGAGAUGUGCAAAUUUCUAUUUAACCUGUCUCCAAGGACCGCCUCGGUCAAAACCAAUUCAACUAAAGUUGAAGAAACAGACACCCGCCAGUCAUCUUUAUGCAACGAGUUGCAUGUUAGUCGAUGAAACCAGUCUCUCGUAAGCAUACGAGUAAUGUCGGUCCGGGCCGCUUCAAUCCAACAAUACCGCCGAAUCGAGAAAAGACUAAGGAGGGCAGCAAAUCAAACAUAAACGCCCACAUAACCUUUUGUGUUCUACUCGAGAUAACAUCUACGCAUGAACCUAGCUCAUGAUGCCACUGUUGGGGAUCGUUGCAUGGGAAACAAAAAAUUUCCUACGCACACGAAGACCUAUCAAUGUGAUGUUCAUCUACGAGAGGGAGAUUACAUCUACAUACCCUUGUAGAUCGCUCAGCGGGAAGCGUUAAGAAACGUGGUUGAUGUAGUGGUACAGCUUCGUCAUUCAAAUCACCGUCGUCCCACAAUCCGUCCCUCGAACCGUCCCACAAUCCCUCCCAAGAACCGUCUCGCGAUCCAUCUCGAUAAAGCGCCGAAUGGAUAGCACCUCCGCGUUCAGCACACGUACAGCUCGAUGACGAUCUGGGCCUUCUUGAUCCAGCAAGAGAGACGGAGAAGUAGAUGAGUUCUCCGACAACGUGAUGGCGCGCCGGUGUUGGUGAUGAUCUAUUCCUGCACGGCUCUGCCCGAGCUCCAUAGAAAUCUAAUCUAGAGGAAGAACUAUGAGGUGUAGGUUUGAGUUGCACGUGGCAAAAGUUGUGUCUCAAACAGCCCUAAACCUCAAGUAUAUAUAGGAGGAGUCAAGGGGUGGGGAAAUACCUUAGGGCGCCGGCCAAAGAGGCCCUCCUUGGGUCGGCCGAAGUGGGAAGGGAAGAGUCCUUCUCCAAUCCCACUUGGAUUAGGACUCCUUCCUUAUUUUCCCACCUCUUUUGGAUUUUCCACUUUUUCCUCAUGGGCUUUCCUUGGAUGACUUUGUUAGCCCAUUAUACCUUAUUGCGCAUACAAUAAACCCAUGUGGACCCCUUGGGGCGCAUACAAUAAACCCAUUUGAUCGUCGGUAUCCCUAUACCUAUUCCAAUCUCGUUACCGGCAAGUCUCUUUGCUCGUUCUAUAAUACAAGAUCCCGUGACUCACACUUGAGUAACAUUGCUUGCAAGGCUUGUGUGUGAUGUUGUAUUACCGAGUGGGCCCCGAGAUACCUCUCCGUCACAUGGAGUGACAAAUCCCAAUCUUGAUCCAUGCUAACUCAACGGACACCUUCAGAGAUACCUGUAGAGCACCUUUAUAGUCAUCCAGUUAUGUUGUGACGUUUGAUACCCACAAGGUAUUCCUUCGGUGUUAGUGAGUUACAUGAUCUCAUGGUCAUAGGAAUGAAUACUUGACACGCAGAAAACAAUAGCAAUAAAAUGACACGAUCACAUGCUACGUUCAUAGUUUGGGUCUUGUCCAUCACAUGAUUCUCCUAAUGAUGUGAUCCCGUUAUCAAGUGACAACACGUGUCUAUGGUCAGAAAACCUUGACCAUCUUUGAUCAACGAGCUAGUCAACUAGAGUCUUACUAGGGACAGUGUUUUGUCUAUGUAUCCACACAUGUAUUUGUAUUUCCAAUCAAUACAAUUAUAGCCUGGAUAAUAAACGAUUAUCAUGAACGAAGAAAUAUAAUAAUAACUAAUUUAUUAUUGCCUCUAGGGAAUAUUUCCAACAUAGGUUUUCCCUUGAUAGGUUUUCUGUUUUAGGAUAGAUUGACAUACUGUCAAGGGGGGCUCUCAAGUGAGUAGCUCGAUUGUAUCGUUCGUUGAGAGCCCAAACCAUUUGCAUCCUUGCAUCAUACUUCUUGGUUCUUGUUUGGUGUUUCUCUUUGUGAGUUUUAGAGCUUAUGGUCAUCUUCAUGACAAGCUCGAGUUCAUAAAAAAUGAAGUCCAUAUGCAUCUACUAUAUAGCUGUUUGGAUAGCUCUUGUCGUCGUGAAUCCAACAAGCUUGGGUUUGCUCGAUUCAGAGCUCGUAUGCGAAAGUUAUGGCUGUUUCAGUGGCGAGCGGUAGUACCGCUUGUGCCAAGCGGUAGUACCGCUCCCUAGCGGUAGUACCGCUCCGGGUGGGCGGUAGUACCGCUGCCUAGCGGUAGCACCGCUCCAGGUGGGCGGUAGUACCGCUUCGGGAUGGUAGUACCUCUCUCUGAGCGGUUGUACUUUGUCGGACUUUUUGCGAAUACUUUUCCAAGCGGCGGUAGGCCCGAGAGUAAUAUCUUUACUACCGUGGCCUAGCGGUAGUACCGCUCCUCACCAGUGGUAGUACCGCUAGGGGCAGCGGUAGUACCACUAGAGGCAGUGGUAGUAGCGCACCUCGCCAGCGGUAGUACCGCUAGAGGCAACGGUAGUACUGCGCCUCACCGGCGGUAGUAACGCUGUGCGCGGGCUGUAAGUGGGGGUAACGGUCUGAUUCCUUCCCCCACUAUAUAAAGGGGGUCUUCUUCCCCGAUGGUCUUUUCUAUCUCUUGAGAUCAUGUUCUUCCCCCAUUGUUGACCUUCUUCGAGCUUGCUAACUCUCAAUCCCUCCAAUGAUUCUUGCUAGUUCUUGAGGGAAAAGAGAGAGGAGAUCUAGAUCCACAUCUCCACCAAUCACUUUCUCCUCUAUGUGAAGGGAACCCCUUGGAUUUGGAUCUUGGAGUUCUUUGUGAGCUCCUUGUUCUUCCUCUCAUAUUUCUCCAUAGCUUUUGUUGUUGUGGAGGGAUUUAAGUGUGAGGGACUUGGCCACUUCGUGUGUUCUUACCAUUGCAUUAGUUGCAUCGGUUUGAGUUUUCCACGGUGAUACGUGGAAGUGAAGUUUGAGAAUCUUAUCACCUUUUGGUACUUGGUACCCUAGAGAUUUUUCUUCGGGGCUGCUUUGGCGUCCUAGAAGCUUGGUGGUGCCUUGGAGCUCAAUCAUUGUGGUGUAAAGCUCAGAGCAAGCGUCAGGGUCUCCAAUUAGGUUGUGGAGAUUGCCCCGAGCAAUUUGUACGGGUACCGGUGACCGCCCCCAAGGGUUGCCAUUUGUACGGGUUAGGUGACCACCCUCAAGGGUCCCUUAGUGGAAUCACGACAUCUUGCAUUGUGCAAGGGCGUGAGGAGAUUACGGUGGCCUUAGUGGCAUCUUGGGGAGCAUUGCGCCUCCACACCGCUCCAACGGAGAUUAGCAUCCGCAAGGGUGUGAACUUCGGGAUACAUCAUCAUCUCCGCAUGCCUCGGUUAUCUCUUACCCGAACCCUUUACUUAUGCACUUUACUUUGUGAUAGCCAUAUUGUUUCUUGUCAUAUAUCUUGCUAUCACUUAGUUGUUUAUCUUGCUUAGCAUAAGUUGUUGGUGCACAUAGUUGAGCCUAGUUGUUUUAGAUUUUGUGCUUGACAAAUUAAACGUUAGUUUUAUUCCGCAUUUGUUCAAGCCUAAACCGUAAUUAUUUUAAAGCGCCUAUUCACCAUCCCUCUAGGCGACAUCCACGUCCUUUCAGGCACUGGAUGCACUUACAGAAUCAUCAUAAUUUACUUACCUUGUGAGCCAAUUCCAGUUUGAUUUACUUACCAAACUUCUUAUCAAAAUAAAAUGUAAAUCAUGAACAUAAUUUAAUAAAUAUAUAUCUACACAAUCACAUUACAAACAUAUAAAUCACAAGCUACCAUAUUAAAUAUGGAAAAAGCUUGUAAUCACACGACGGAUUGCAACUCCCGCAUCCGCCACCUUCCCCCAGACACCACGUGCCCCACGAACCACUACUACUAUAUUUUUAACUCGCCUGUUGUUGCAUUCUUACCAUCGCAGCAACUGGUAUAUUGCAGACCGAGGAAGACGAAGACGAGACGAUGAUAUCCAGAUCCCUGCAGCGCCGAACGAGAGAUGCACGUCACGUGACGCUUCAAUGUUGGUGCCGACAACAACUGCCCACCUCGUUGGAUAGGAGGAUGGGGCGACGAGGUUGCAACCGAGGUCGGGCGCACAGGUUGUCAUUGCCGCAUGCCUCCACCACAGCUGUUGGCCAAGCACGGUGCGUCAACCUCGCCGGAGAGAAGGGUGCGAUGAGCGACAUGGCGAGAGAUUUCGACGCUCGCCGAUGGGCAGCGUUGCUAGUCCCUCACCGGAGACCUUUUUUUUGCAACAUCCUCCGUGUUGCAUGAAAGAUUCUGCAACAUCACUAAUGUUGCAAAACUUUCUUACGUCGAUAACUUUGUUGCAAAGAAAUCAACAACAAUAAUAGCUAGAUAACAAUACCUCUGUUACAAAAAAUCUGCAACACAUUCUCUGUUGCAAUUUUUUUACAAGACACCCUCUGCUGCAAAAAAAAUCUGUAAUACAAUCUCUGUUAUAAAUGUUUCUACAAUAAGGUCUUUGUUGCAAAGUAGAAAAAAGACGUUCAUCCCGAUAGAUCCGACGACUCGACGAGACGGUGGAUCUUUUAAAAAGAUCUGCCGACCGAUGCGUAGGAUCCCCAUUAAAAUAUUCAUAUCCCAUUGCAACGCACAUGCAUUGUCCUAGGUUUUUUAUGGACAGGCUUUGUCCUAGUCUUUUUUGAACAUCAAUAACUUAAUUCUUUAAAUAAUAGCUAGGUAUGGCAAUGGGUCGGGUUUGGAGCGGGUGGAGCUGGUCCAAAUCCAACCCAUGACCCAUAUUCGUACCCUCUAUCCAUCCACCAAAGUAUCCAUGGACACAAAAUGUGCCCAUGCCCAAACACAUCCAGAUAUCCAUGGAGCUCCAUGGGCAUAGAAAAAUCAACAUGAAGCCUUCCCAAAGAUCAAACUAACUCUUCAUCGUUUGUUAACAAAGAUUAGGUUUAAUAAUUAUGUUAGUGCAGUUGUGGGGGAUUAGGGAAGAUGGGUCAGACUUUGACCUUCUCUGACCACGAGUGACUUGGGGUUGGACAUUUUCUUAGUUUAGUGUCCCUACCAUAGGGGCCCAUGUGUCAUAUGGGUAUCCAUGGAGCAAAAAUUAAAACUGUGCCCAACCCAACUGUUCGUGGGUAUCCAUAUCCACGGAACCAUGGGCAGAAAUGCGCUCCAUACCCUUGCCCAACUGGGUCGGGUAUCCACGGGUAUCCAGAUCCAUGGAUAAAAUUGCCAUCCCUAAUAAUAGCCAUAUCAUUUAAGUUUGCGGAAGAAGAUAGUCUCGGGGUGAAGCGUCCCAAAACUGAAAAUAGUUAGAGUUAUAACAGUGUUUUGCCAAACAAUCAGCGACGAGAUUAGCUUCCCUAGUUAACACCAUAUAUGUGGAGAUAUCAAGAAAAAAGCACUCGGGGUGAAGUGUCCCAAAACUCAAAAGAGUUAAAGUUAUAGCAGUGUUUUGCCAAACAACCAGAAACGAAAUUAGCUUCCCUAUUAACAACAUAUAUAUGGAGAUAUAGAAAAAACACUGAGGGUGAAGCGUCCCAACACUCAAAAGAGUUAGAGUUAUAGCAGUGUUUUGCCAAACAAUCAGUGACAAGAUUAGCUUCCCUAGUUAACACCAUAUAUCUGGAGAUAUCAAGAAAAAAACACUAGUGGUGAAGCGUCCCAAAACUCAAAAGAAUUAGAGUUAUAACAGUGUUUUGCCAAAGGAAAACACUUUGGAUCAACCGACUGAUUUUACUCAAAAAUCAGCCGGGUCGCUGGCUCCUCACGUGUCCCUCUCAGCCACAUCUUUUCUUCCCACCUUAUCCCUUCCAGUGCUCUCUCCUUCACUCAUUCUCCUCCUCAUCUUAUUCCUCUUUUCCUUCCGUAGCAAUGAUGCUGAGAUGAAGCACGACGAGGGGCAGCCGGGGCUGGGAUGGAGCAGCACCAAUGCACGGGGGUGGCGUUGUAGUGAAGCUCCGUCGACGGCGCCGACGAGAUGUUGAGAUGGAGCCCGUAGUGCUGGUGUCGCGCUCCAAUGAAGCAUUGCCGGAGCUGUGAUCGGUCGUCGGUGCUGCAUUGGAGCAUCGCCACGCCAGUGUGGCGCUGCAAUGAAGCUUCAUCGGCGGCUGCAAUGGAGCUUCAUCGACGGCGCCAAGAGUUGCGACGCUGCGCCCUGAGCUGCAAUGGAGCUUUACCUACGGAGACGAGAGCUGCAAUGCAGCGCCCAAAGCUGCAAUGAAGCUUCACCGGCGGCACCAAGAUCUGCGAUGCAGCACCCGCGCUGCAAUGAAGCUCCACUCGCGCUGCAAUGAAGCUUCAUCACGACGAGCGAUCGUUGCUUGCGUUGACUAGAUCCAAAGUCCUUGUAGAACGCAUCUAAUGGCUGGGGACCCGAGUGAUUUCUUGGGAAAUCAGUCGGUUGAUCCGUAGCAGCCGCCUUUGCCAAACAAUCAGCGACGAGAUUAGCUUCCCUAUUAACACCAUAUACGUGGAGAUAUAAAAAAACAAAGGGUGUAGCGUCCCAAAAACUCAAAAGAGUCAGAGUUAUAGGAGUGUUUUGUCAAACAAUCAACGACGAGAUUAGCUUCCCUAAUUAACACCAUACAUAUAUGCGGAGAUAUAUAAAGAAAAAGGAAAACACUUAAAAACAACCGGCUGAUUUUUCACUCGCGUAAGCCGCGGCCGACGCCCGCCACGCGUCCCUGUUUGCUCGCUCAUCCUUUCCCUUAUCUCUUCCCCCACAAACUGGACCGCUCGUUCUUUUUCCUUCCUUUCUUCUUCCUUGAGCACACCGCACCACACACAAGUGCCAGUGCCUGCCAUCGUAGACCAUAGCCGCCGUUGCUGCUGCAAGCGGGCUUCACAAAGGACGGUGCUUUGAUGCAAUUCCAGUUGUCGGUCACCUCAUGCUGCUAUAGGCUAGGUUGGGAGGACGGUGCUGUCAUGGCCGACGGCGGAGCUGCGUUGCAGCAGGCGAUGCGCGGCGAGGUUGUUGCCAUAUUGAUGGCGGAGCUGCGUUGGAGGAGGAGGGGAUACGAGCAACUGCCAUGGCCCUCGACAGAGCUACGGGCAAUGCUGCAACGAAGCUUCGCGGGGGCAUCAAUGAAGCUUUGCCGAAGCUGCAACGAAGCUUCGUCGGGGCGUCAAUGAAGCUUCGCGGUGCUGCACUGAAGCUUCGUCGGGGCGUCAAUGAAGUUUCGCCGGUGCUGCACUGAAGCUUCGCGUGUGGCGUCGGUGCUCCAUUGCAGCUUCGUCUCGGUGCUGGGGUUGUUAUGAAGCUUUUGUCGAUGCUUGAUGUUGCCAUGGACAGCACCUGCAGCUUCGGAUGCAGCGCCAGAUCGUACGUCCCCUAGCGCCAAAUCUAACGGCUGGCUAGGCGGAUGAUUUCCUGGCCUGAUCCGUAGCAGCCCCCAAAGAAAAAACACCAUAUAUGUGGAACGGUGGUCAAUAAAAUAACCUAGAUUUACAACACAUCUGAACCGUCCGAUCCAGAUACUGAGGCACCUAUAGUAGUACUACUCAACCCCUCGUAUAGGAACCGGCAAAAUGAGUUCAGACCCCGUCAAAUUCCGUUCCCCUCUCACCCCGACCUGACCCACCGACCCCUCGCCGGCCCACCGCCACAGGUCGCCGCAAUGGCGUACAACUCUUCGCGCGCGCGCCUCUCGCCGCCAGCUCCCGCGGCCCCUCGCCCCAGGAAGCGCGGACGUUCUCCCUCAGCUCCCGGCGCGGCGGUGUGGCGCGCGUCCGCUGCAUACGUCGCUCCUUUCGACCACCGCCGCCGCUGGCAGAACCCUGCAGGCGCGUCUGGCCGCGUCUGGCAGGGGUACCGCGCGCCACAUACCCCGGUGCCCUCCCGGCAGUGGGUCUUCGCGGACGAGGCAUCCACCUCGGGAUCAGGUAUCCUGUUAGCUGCAUAGCUGUCGUUGUCGAGGAGAUUGGUUACCUUUGCUCACCACUUGUUUGUGUAUAGGUCUGGUAAAAAUUGGCCUUUGCAUUGGCUAUUUUACUAGUAAUACUGCACUACUGCUACCGGGAAAUAGUAAGGAGCUAGUUCAACCAAUUAGGUAGUGGAAGUUAUUUUCCAAAAGAAAAAAGUUCAGUGAAAGUCAAAAUCUUCUACCCAGCUAGUGCAAUCUCCCACAAAGUCAUGAUCUUCGUGUGUACUUCCCUUACAAAGUUGGAUCAGUUUGGCUUGUUGGCUUGGAAGUGUGUUGCUUAUCACAAAUUUGUAUCAGAUUGGGUGGAAUUGUGUUGCUGAGAUGGAGGCAUUCGUGCCUGUACUUAUGCUUUCUUUUGUUAGAUGCAUGCACAAUCAUGUCAUACAACAUCUUGGCGGAUAACAAUGCACGGAACCAUCCUGACCUUUACUUGGACGUCCCUUGGGAUGCUUUGAGAUGGGAUUCGAGGAGAAGGCUUAUUAUCCAUGAAAUUAGGCACUGGGACUCUGACUUAGUGUGUCUUCAGGCAAGAACUCAACCUGCAUAUUGGCGAUGUCAUCCUUCCACUGUACUCUGUAACACUUUAUGUUUGGAAAAUAGGAGGUGGAUAGAUUCCGGGAAAUUGCUGCAGAAAUGAAGAACAAAGGCUAUGAAUGUAGCUUUAAGGUAUAGCACUAUAACAUUUCUCUUUGAAAUUUCUGCCUUUCAAAUCUUAAGCUGAGUCCCGUGCCAUCCUCAGGGGCGCACUGGGGAUGCUAAAGAUGGAUGUGCUACCUUUUGGAAGUCAGAACGGUAUGACUAAUGCUACCCCUUCUCCGCUUGUUAUCUUUAUUGGUUGGAACAAAGCAGCAAUUUUAUCCUUUCUGUUUGUUUGAACUGUAGGUUACGUCUGCUUGAGGAAGAUAGUAUUGACUUUAGUGAAUUCAAUCUACGAAAUAAUGUUGCUCAAGUAUUAGUUUUUGAGGUACUUGGAUUUACAUCAAAGCACUAGUUGGUUCAGUUCAUUAACUAAAGUAAGGAGUAAUUUCUCAUCCAUCCUGGUAAGAGUUAGCAGAUAAUCGCUUGGCUUCUUCUGCUAUUAAUGCUUUCCCUAUUUGAUAUGGGCCUGAGACCCAAAUAAUGGGUAGAACUAGCAGGAAAUAGAGAAGGAGGGGAUAUCUUUUUUUCUGUGAUAGUUCCAUCUUUUCUCUGUGAGUCGAAUAGCUCUAUCUGGAAACAUGCACCAUGUAUUAUUAUAAUUUUAGCACUGUCUUGUGACUCCCUUUACAUUGUGUAAAUGAACCAAAUGAUGUACUACAAUCGUGCAUUUUCUGAAUAGCCUCCCAGCUACCAUCUUUUGUAUAUUUUUUCUUCUUAUUCAGGUCUCUGCUAAGUAACCAAUGUUUUACUGUUGGAAGAAAAUGGUUAUAUUUAUUUUUCUUCUGACAUGUUUCCUUUUCAGCUUAACGGAACCCAAAAAUUUGUACUCGGGAAUAUCCAUGUUUUGUUUAAUCCAAAGCGUGGAGAUGUAAAAAUGGGACAGGUAUGUCAGUUCAGAUAAAAUCAGCAUCAUUUGUUUCAUGCAUAUCUAAUAUCAUUGUGUAGUCGUGUCUCAAGAUGGUCUGCAUAAUCCUCAUUAGCUGAUAGGAAUGUAAUGCACAGUUUGAAAUGACUGUUGGCCACUUCAAAUUUGACAGAUAUCUAUUUACUCCUUCCAACUUUACCCAAAUUAUUGUUUACUCCUGAUUCUCCUUCCUCCAGAUCCGCAUGCUACUGGAGAGGGCGAAUGCUCUUGCUGGAAAAUGGGAUGGAAUUCCUAUUGUGCUUGCUGGUGAUUUUAACAGCACACCUGAAGUAUGUUUUAGUUGCUUCCUUGCAUAUAUGUGCCUUAAGAUUCUCACAUAAAGAUAAUUACUUGUAACAAGUGUUUAGUUUCUGGAACUGAGAUGACAUGUUACCGCUCAUGAGUGAUAGUGCUUUAGAUUGAACGCGGGUGUUGGAUGGUACAAUUAGGGUAUUAAGUUGUAAAUAGGUUUUUUUUUUAUUGAAAUGUGGUAUCUUGUGAUUUAGAGCUAACAUUUUUCUUUCAUUGGUUCUAACUUUUCUUUUUUCUCUUCCUUGGACCAGAGUGCCAUCUAUAAGUUCUUGUCGACAAUGAAGGUGAAAUAUUGCAUUAGAUAUUUCUUGCAUAUCCCCAAAGUUAUAGUCUGGUUAUUAUAGAACUGAUUUACAAUGCAUACAAUGUGCUCUUUUUGGUGUGACCAGCUGAACGUUUCUUUGCAUGAUAGAAGGCAGUUGUCUGGACUGGAUAGCUCUGAAUUUGGUUUGUAUUGUAGGUUAGAAUUCUUUCUUGUCAGAUUUUAGUUGACCUAGCACAUUUGUCCAUUUUAAGAUUUUUAUCUACCUUCCUUGUAGUUUACUGAACUUUGAAUGGAGUGACGAAGAAGUGAGAAAUGCGACAGGGUCCUCAAAUGUCAUGGUCGCUAGACAUCCGUUGAAGCUUUCUAGCUCUUAUGCUAUGUUGAAGGUAGUAUUUAUUUUCUAGUAGAAACUGAAGCACUCUCUUCGACUAUUCGACAUAUAGUUGAAAUGAAGAGCCGGUUUAUUUUAGGGAAAUUCAAGCAAUAGGGGUCAUCAUGGUGAACCUCUAGCAACGUCAUAUCACAAGAAGUUUCUGGGGACUGUUGAUUAUUUGUGGUACGCUUCUAAACGUGUCUGCAUCUAUUAUACACAUAUACAAUAUGGCUGAGUCUCGUUGUUGAAGGUAUACUCCUGGACUUGAAUGCUCCAGAGUUUUGGACACACUACCUGUGGAUGCUUUGAAGAGGACAAGGGGUCUUCCAACCAGGGUACUUCCUAUUUUAAUGCAUCAUACUAUUUAGACAAAUCUGUAUGUGAAAAAGGACUAUAUGUUUAAACUUUGGGCUUGGGCAAUGUCAUGAUUCGAGUUUUGGCCGUAAAUUUCCUGUUAUACAUAAUGCUCAUAUUUGACCGCUAACAACGAUGUCAUGCUGAAAAAUCAUCAGGAAAUGGGCAGUGAUCAUCUGCCAAUUGUUGCUGAAUUCAUCUUCUCGGAACAGACCAGAUAUUCAUCCGAGCAAGGAGAUGAAUCCGACCAAGAUGAAUCUGAGCCAGACGAUGAGCCUACACGAGAAGCAACCACAGCAAAACACAUAUAUUUCUCCUCAGACAGUGACAGUUCGGCUGAUGCAAGUUAAUUAUUCAGUUGGUAGGAAAAGUUUAGGAUAUAUGACUUGGAGGACAGGGGCGCUGUACGAACUUCAUGGCGGUGACCAUACCAUUCAUGAUUCAGAUGCAGAAAUUAUCUUGGCCAUUGUAAGGCUCACGCCAUAUCCUUGAAUGAAUGUGCAAGGUGUGUUGCCAGAACCUGUAGUGUUGUAAUUCCUGUAGUGGAUUCCAGUCCUGCUGCUUCAGGAUGCUGAUACGGAUCAGAAUCAGGUGUAGGAAGCUGAUGUCUCCAGACUCAAGUGCCAAGAUUGUGGCCGAACGAGUGUUCUCCACGAGCUAUACAAACAAGUAGGUUAAGGACAAGGAAAGAAAAACAAUUAGUAUUGGCAGUUUAGCAUUUACUAGUACUCAAAGUGUAUUUAUUCUCCACUUUUGCGCAGAAUAUUGACACGCUAUCGUAAUGAUUUAACGUGCAGUAUGUACAUGCCGACUGUAGUGUACUCGUUCGGUCUAUGCCUAUAUACUCGCUCGUUUGACACUAACUGGCAAGCGUUCACUGGGACGGGAUUGGCAAGCGAACAUUUCUAAUGACGUUUUUAGGUGAUAGCAGUUGGUAGUUUCUGCCUGUUUUCGCCUCAAAAAUUCUUUCUAUUUGGAAACUGUCAUGUCUCUCUGAAAAAUUGUCAUGCGUCACUGAAUAAACUACUUGUAAAAACGUUGGCAAACGCUACCCCUCAUUGUGAACGUUCGCUGGCUAUUGGGGUCCUUGACACUAUUGGUUGAGGAUCCCGCUUUUAGAUUGGUGUAGGAGCAGGAGACUAACCAAACUUGCAUAUAUCCUGUAAUAAGUUAGGAAUUACAAAGUUCACGUGAAGUACAAAGCAUCUCAAACAUAAAAAUUACAUUGAGAUUAUGAGACCACUGAACAAAGCAUCUCCAACAUAAAAAUUAUAUUGAGAUUAUGAGACCAAUGUAUGACGGCUAGCUAUAUACUCGCUCGUUUGACACUAUUGUUUGAAGAUCCUGCUUUUAGACUGCUCGCAGUAGGAUACUAACCAAACAUUCCAUAUAUUCUGCAAUAAAUGAGGAAUUGCCGUCAUCGAGGAGGUCAGGCAGGCUUUAGUAAGGGGGCGGUGCGUCGGCGGCUUGUCCUGAUGGUGGUAGUGGUCGUUUGAUGAUCCAUUGACCUGUAGAUGCAAAAAAUUUUAUGUGUGUUAUAUAUGUUUUAUUUUGUACUCCCUCUGUAAACUAAUAUAAAAGCAUUUAGAUCACUAUUUUAGUUAUCUAAACACUCUUAUAUUAGUUUACAGAGGUAAUACUUAUGGACUUUUGUAUUAGAUCGAGUCCUUUGUGUAAAAAAAGAAACUAGAAAUUGCAGCAAUAGCAAACACACAGAUGCAGAGGCUGAGUACUAGCACUAGCAAAAUGCAGAUCGACCUUGCAUUCCCCAACCGUCAAAUCCGCAGUCCGCACUCAUCAGGCACCAACCAAAGAAAUGCCUGGUACGGGAGGGCAGGGAGGCCAUCUAUGGAUUUGAAGAUAGGGAGGCGGCCAAUCAGAGCCAAGCGGCCGGCCACGUCACCGCUCCGAGGGACCAAGACGCGGGCGAGCGCGGCCGCACAAGAGCCCCUCCUACACAACAAGCGUCCCAGCUUUUGUUGUUGUUGGGCGAGACACAGAGCGAGAGGCCGAGGAAGCGAUAGCUCUAGCGAUAAGGCACUGACGGAUCAAUGGCUGCCACGGCGUACUCCGUGGCCCUCCUCGGCGGGGCGCGCCUCCCCGCCGCCACCAGCAACGCCGCCCCACGCUCCUCCGCCCUCCUCCCGCGGCGCAACCUCCACCCGCUCCGCCUCCAAGGUGCACAUGCAUCCUAUGCUAUCUACGUACUAUCAGCCGGGUUUUUCCGGAGGAUUCUUUUGGCUCUGACGGCUUGGCCGAGCUUGCAGAUGCGCCGAGGCCGUCCCUGCUCCGCGUGAAGGCGGCCUCCGACGACACGUCGGCGAGCGGCGAUGAGAUCAUCGAGGACCUCAAGGGGAAG